GCUGAGCUCGUAGCAUGAGCUUGCAACCCAAGUGGGAGCAAUAAGAUGAUUGGGAUAAUCCAAAUGUUCAGCCCUUCAAACAAAUAGUGUGUUGGUUUGGAUUAUCUCACAUUACAUGAAAGAAGACCAGUUCGAGCACACUCCCAAGUCACCACUAGAGGUGUCAGAUUGUUAUUGGUUUGGACCAUCAUCUUU
This 195-nucleotide non-coding RNA is filed under the name Solanum tuberosum (potato). Lineage: Eukaryota; Viridiplantae; Streptophyta; Magnoliopsida; Solanales; Solanaceae. The record is from RNAcentral.